UGUUACCUUCUCAUAGAGUCACUGGCUUUCAGGAGAAGGAGAAGCAAUUCUAGAAGGAGAAGUUGGCAUAUACAGCUUCCUUCCUGCCCUAUGGGCUAGCCAGCAAGAGGAUUCUACAGUCAUGGAACUGGAUGAGCCACUGCCCAAACAGCCGCCAUCUUUACAAAAUGGACCCAUCACGAAUAUUGAAAAGCUUGGAAGUAUCACUUUUGAAAAAAAUUCUUUUGCAUUCAGCAUGGACUUGACCAGCAUCUAUGGAGAUUAUUUUUUUGCUUCAUUUUCUAAAGUUGUAUUUAGAAAAGUCUUAAGUAUUGUGCUUUGUAAAGAAGAUGAUUAAAAUGAAGUUUUGUGAAAAUAUUUUUGUUCAAAGUUGUCAUGGUCCAAGAGGAAUGAUAUCUUGGAAUUCAAGUCAUUUUUCUCCAUUUUACACAAUUUGAUUACUCUC
RNAcentral lists this long non-coding RNA (445 nucleotides) under Bos taurus (domestic cattle). RNAcentral's name for it is "long non-coding RNA NONBTAT027010". The record is from RNAcentral. Lineage: Eukaryota; Metazoa; Chordata; Mammalia; Artiodactyla; Bovidae.